CAAUUCAUUACAAGGAUACUUGACAGAGAAGCAAACAAGCUUGGAAAACAUUGCAGCACUCCUGGUUUUUUUUAAAUAAAGCAGGAAAAACACUGGAAGACUAAAUACAAGGCCUAAAGCUGGACAGGUGGGUCUUUAGGACAAGACUUUGGCUGCCCCUCAGGGCACUCCCGAGAUGCCUCCCCGUUUGUCCCUGUCCCUCACAGUUUGUCCCUGCUCCGGUUCCGGUCCCUCAGGUUUGUCCCCGUCCCUCACAGUUUGUCCCUGCUCCGGUCCCGGUCGCUCAGGUUUGUCCCUGUCCCUCACAGUUUGUCCCUGCUCCUGUCCCGGUCGCUCAGGUUUGUCCCUGUCCCUCACAGUUUGUCCCUGCUCCUGUCCCGGUCGCUCAGGUUUGUCCCUGUCCCUCACAGUUUGUCCCUGCUCCUGUCCCGGUCGCUCAGGUUUGUCCCUGUCCCUCACAGUUUCUCCCUGCUCCUGUCCCGGUCGCUCAGGUUUGUCCCCGUCCCUCACGAUCCCC
This is a long non-coding RNA of Serinus canaria (Common canary), 517 nucleotides long. RefSeq lists it as uncharacterized. The record is from RefSeq and is a predicted model, not a curated record. The transcript is spliced from 3 exons. NCBI's taxonomy places the organism in Eukaryota, Metazoa, Chordata, Aves, Passeriformes, Fringillidae.